UGCAAAUAAAUAGGGAUGGUGGCAAGCUAUGACUAGAUAAUUUAAAAAAAAAAAUUGGGGUUUGUUUUCGUGGAAAUCGUCGCCAGCGAUCUUCAUAUUAGGAUCAAAAUGAGAAUCGUUGUUCCUCUUCAUAUGUGAAUCAAGGUUCUCCUCAAUGGCCACAUCAAGGUUUUUCCUCUGGUAAGUCCACCUCUUCCCAGGGCUCUAUCUUAGGGCCACCACCAGUUUCUGGUAACUCCUUUCAGAGUCGCAGCAUUCUUGCUGCCAGAUCUAUAGUCAACAUGGUCAUGUGGCCUCUUGUUGCCCUCAACGAAUCAACCAUGCAUUUCUUAGUAUAUCUUGCUCCACCACUCAUAGUAAUUUUCCUUCUUCUUCUUCCUGGUUGUUAGAUUUAGGGUCUAAUAAUCACGUAACUGCAGAUAUGAGCAAUCUUGCUCUUACUUCUCCCUUCUGUGGCUCUGAGCAACUCGUGGUUGGAAACGGUCAAGGAUAAGAUGACAGGGGAGAUCCGUUACAAAGGUUAGAGUAAUAACGAGUUAUAUGAGCUUCCCAACUCUCACUGUUCAAAUCCCUCCUCCCACACGGCCAUCUAUGCUCCUAUAGAUGAUUGGCAUCAUCGAUUGGGCCACCCAGCCAUCAAGAUAGUUCGUCAUAUUGUUGAUAAGUUUGCUUUACCUGUAUCUAGUACUACUUCUUCUGAUUGUGAUGCAUGUCAUUGUGCAAAAAGUAAUCGUUUACCUUUCUCUGUAUCUUCUAGUAUUAGUUCUUCUGCUUUUAAACUUUUACAUUGUGAUGUUUGGGGUCCUACUCCCUUAGUCUCUGUUGACAAUUUCAGAUACUAUGUCGUUGUCAUUGAUGACUAUAGCAAGUAUAUCAUAUUGCAUAAAUCUGAUGUUCUGUUUGUUUUCACUCGUUUUAAGCUUCUUGUUGAAAAUUAUUUCUCUUGUUCCAUAAAAAGUGUGCAAACCGGUGGUGGGGGGAGAAUUUGAAAAGUUGGAAUCCUUCCUCGCUUCAAAUGGAAUUUCUCGCUGUGUAUCUUGUGCACACACUUAGGCCCAGAAUGGGGCUGCCGAGCGUAAGCAUAGGCAUAUUGUCGAAACAGGUCUAGCCUUGCUCUUUCACUCUCACAAUCUAGCCACGUAUUGGACUUAUGCCUUCUCUGCUGCCAUCUAUCUGAUAAAUAGGAUGCCUAUCUCUGUUUUAGGUGAUCCCAAUCCUUUUCAGCAUCUGUUUCACACCAAGCCUGACUAUUUGUUUUUGAGAACUUUUGGUUGUCUUUGUUAUCCUUGGUUGCGCCCAUAUACCUUCAUCUCGACCUUGUGUGUUCCUUGGCUACUCUUUAACUCAUAAGGGAUACAAGUGUUUGGAUACUUCCUCUAAUCGCUUAUAUGUUUCUCGCCAUGUCUCCUUUGUUGAGUCUAUAUUUCCUUUUUCAAAUGUUCCCUCUUCAUUGUCCUCUGCUUCUUCUAUGGUUGAGUCUUGGUGCUCUGCUCCUCUAGGUGUUUAUCUCAAUCUUCCUCCUCUGGCCCAUCUUCUUCUUGUUAGGCCUCCCCUCAAAUAACUCCUACCUCUGCUCCUAUUACUGGUGAGCCCAUCACAGUGCUGCCUUGCUCAAAUGGGUCUCCUAUUCCAGUGUGUCCUUCCUCUCCGGUUGCUGUACUUGAGCCCCUUGUGGCAGUUCCUCAAGCACCUACUUAUCAUAUGCUCACCAGGUCUCGGACUGGUGCUCCCCGGCAUCCUCCAUCUCGACUGACUUAUACUACAACAAGGCAUCCACUUUCUGGUCCUAUUGAGCCUACUUGCUAUACACAGGCUGCUAAAUCACCAGAAUAGAGAGCUGCAAUGAGUGAAGAGUUUAAUGCUCUACUCAAAAAUAGUACUUGGUCUCUUGUUCCUCCCUCCCCCUCUCAAAAUGUGGUAGGCUGCAAGUGGGUGUUUACCAUUGAAUGAUAUAAGGCGAGAUUGGUUGCUAAAGGCUUCCACCAACGACCUGGAGUUGAUUUCACCGAGACCUUCAGUUCGGUGAUUAAACCCACAACCAUUCGGUUGGUUCUAUCUCUUGCUUUUACCAAUCAAUGGGUUGUUCGUCAAUUAGAUGUGCAAAAUACCUUUUUGCAUGGGGAUCUACUGGAAACUGUACAUAUGGUUCAGCCACCGGGCUUUGUUGAUAUGGUGCAUCCUGACUAUGUGUGUCUUCUCAAGAAAUCAUUAUAUGGUCUUAAGCAAGCACCUCGUGCUUGGAAUAUCAGGCUAAGUACCUCUCCUAUCUCAGGGAUUUGUUGCAUCCAAAACCGACUCAUCACUUUUUAUAUAUUGCAAGCAAGCUACUGUCAUCUACUUCCUUAUCUAUGUUGAUGACUUACUUGUCACUGGAAAUGACUCAAAGUUAAUUCAGAAUCUCCUUACAGUUCUUGCUGCUA
Molecule: long non-coding RNA, 2420 nt
Organism: Macadamia integrifolia
Lineage: Eukaryota; Viridiplantae; Streptophyta; Magnoliopsida; Proteales; Proteaceae
Exons: 2
Source: RefSeq, a predicted model, not a curated record